This 233-nucleotide ribosomal RNA is filed under the name uncultured bacterium. RNAcentral's name for it is "partial 16S ribosomal RNA". It matches the Rfam family "Bacterial small subunit ribosomal RNA", at positions 118 to 347 of the family's 1533-position model. The record is from RNAcentral.
UGAGCAAUCUGCCCUUCUCUUCGGAAUAAGCGUUGGAAACGACGUCUAAUGCCGAAUACGACCUCCUUUCGCAUGAUCGGAGGUGGAAAGCUCCGGCGGAGAAGGAUGAGCUCGCGGCCUAUCAGCUAGUUGGUGUGGGUAAUGGCCCACCAAGGCGACGACGGGUANCCGGCCUGAGAGGGUGACCGGCCACACUGGGACUGAGACACGGCCCAGACUCCACGGGAGNAGCG